ACCUCUUUUUGGUUUUCUGUCCCAAAUCAAGUGUAGCAUCUAUUUUAAUCAGUUUAAUAUCUGAUACAUCCUUUACUGAACAAGCACUUAGUACAAUGUUCUGCCAAGCAUACACACUCAAU
Molecule: small nuclear RNA, 122 nt
Filed under: Ornithorhynchus anatinus (platypus)
Lineage: Eukaryota; Metazoa; Chordata; Mammalia; Monotremata; Ornithorhynchidae
Description: U2 spliceosomal RNA (ENSOANG00000027348.2)
Rfam family: U2 spliceosomal RNA
About the family: U2 is a small nuclear RNA (snRNA) component of the spliceosome (involved in pre-mRNA splicing). Complementary binding between U2 snRNA (in an area lying towards the 5' end but 3' to hairpin I) and the branchpoint sequence (BPS) of the intron results the bulging out of an unpaired adenosine, on the BPS, which initiates a nucleophilic attack at the intronic 5' splice site, thus starting the first of two transesterification reactions that mediate splicing.
Source: Rfam by way of RNAcentral